Molecule: ribosomal RNA, 163 nt
Filed under: Klebsiella pneumoniae
Lineage: Bacteria; Pseudomonadati; Pseudomonadota; Gammaproteobacteria; Enterobacterales; Enterobacteriaceae
Also listed under: 4 other names
Description: partial 23S ribosomal RNA
Rfam family: Bacterial large subunit ribosomal RNA
Source: RNAcentral
GUGCUGAAAGCAUCUAAGCACGAAACUUGCCCCGAGAUGAGUUCUCCCUGAGACUUUAAGUCUCCUGAAGGAACGUUAAAGACGAUGACGUUGAUAGGCCGGGUGUGUAAGCGCAGCGAUGCGUUGAGCUAACCGGUACUAAUGAACCGUGAGGCUUAACCUU